AGAAGUGUGCCCGAGAUUAGGGGUUAUUUUGAUGAAAUAAAUACAGAGCAAUUAGCCCUCACUUCCA
This 67-nucleotide transfer RNA is filed under the name Phrynocephalus luteoguttatus (yellow-speckled toad-headed agama). RNAcentral describes it as "tRNA-Ile". The record is from RNAcentral. Lineage: Eukaryota; Metazoa; Chordata; Lepidosauria; Squamata; Agamidae.